CCUACGGGAGGCAGCAGUGAGGAAUAUUGGUCAAUGGCCGAGAGGCUGAACCAGCCAAGUCGCGUGAGGGAUGACGGCCCUACGGGUUGUAAACCUCUUUUGUCGGGGAGCAAAGAGAGUCACGUGUGGCUCAUUGAGAGUACCCGAAGAAAAAGCAUCGGCUAACUCCGUGCCAGCAGCCGCGGUAAUACGGAGGAUGCGAGCGUUAUCCGGAUUUAUUGGGUUUAAAGGGUGCGCAGGCGGAUUUUUAAGUCAGCGGUCAAAUCGUGGGGCUCAACCCCAUCCAGCCGUUGAAACUGGGGAUC
This 305-nucleotide ribosomal RNA is filed under the name uncultured bacterium. Its description in RNAcentral is "bacterial SSU rRNA". It matches the Rfam family "Bacterial small subunit ribosomal RNA", at positions 338 to 641 of the family's 1533-position model. The record is from RNAcentral.